GCGCGAGUGGUGAAAUUGGUAGACACGUCAGCUUGAGGGGCUGGUGACCGCAAGGUUGUGCAGGUUCAACUCCUGUCUCGCGCA
Molecule: transfer RNA, 84 nt
Filed under: Flavobacteriales bacterium
Lineage: Bacteria; Pseudomonadati; Bacteroidota; Flavobacteriia; Flavobacteriales
Description: tRNA-Leu
Rfam family: tRNA
About the family: Transfer RNA (tRNA) molecules are approximately 80 nucleotides in length. Their secondary structure includes four short double-helical elements and three loops (D, anti-codon, and T loops).
Source: RNAcentral